GAUGAACGCUGGCGGCGUGCCUAACACAUGCAAGUCGUACGAGCUCGAUCUUCGGAACGGGUUAGUGGCGCACGGGUGAGUAACACGUAGGUGACCUACCCCAGAGUGGGGGAUAACUUCUCGAAAGAGAGGCUAAUACCGCAUACACUCGGUCAUUCAUUUGGCCGAGCAAAGCUCCGGCGCUUUGGGACGGGCCUGCGUCCGAUUAGCUAGUUGGUAGGGUAAUGGCUUACCAAGGCUUUGAUCGGUAGCUGGUCUGAGAGGACGAUCAGCCACACUGGCACUGACACACGGGCCAGACUCCUACGGGAGGCAGCAGUGAGGAAUAUUGGGCAAUGGGCGAAAGCCUGACCCAGCAACGCCGCGUGAGGGAUGAAGGCCUUCGGGUUGUAAACCUCUUUUCUGGGUAGAAGAGACAAGGACGGUAAGUCCCAGGAAUAAGUACUCGGCUAACUACGUGCCAGCAG
Molecule: ribosomal RNA, 467 nt
Filed under: uncultured bacterium
Lineage: Bacteria
Description: bacterial SSU rRNA
Rfam family: Bacterial small subunit ribosomal RNA
Source: RNAcentral